UGGGGAAUAUUGGACAAUGGGCGCAAGCCUGAUCCAGCCAUGCCGCGUGAGUGAUGAAGGCCCUAGGGUUGUAAAGCUCUUUCACCGGUGAAGAUAAUGACGGUAACCGGAGAAGAAGCCCCGGCUAACUUCGUGCCAGCAGCCGCGGUAAUACGAAGGGGGCUAGCGUUGUUCGGAUUUACUGGGCGUAAAGCGCACGUAGGCGGACUUUUAAGUCAGGGGUGAAAUCCCGGAGCUCAACCCCGGAACUGCCUUUGAUACUGGAAGUCUUGAGUAUGGUAGAGGUGAGUGGAAUUCCGAGUGUAGAGGUGAAAUACGUAGAUAUUCGGAGGAACACCAGUGGCGAAGGCGGCUCACUGGACCAUUACUGACGCUGAGGUGCGAAAGCGUGGGGAGCAAACAGG
RNAcentral lists this ribosomal RNA (404 nucleotides) under Actinomycetes bacterium. Its description in RNAcentral is "Actinobacteria bacterium partial 16S ribosomal RNA". It matches the Rfam family "Bacterial small subunit ribosomal RNA", at positions 355 to 776 of the family's 1533-position model. The record is from RNAcentral. Lineage: Bacteria; Bacillati; Actinomycetota; Actinomycetes.